GAAUCGGAUGAUUUGAUAUUCUGUUCCUUAUAUCUAUAAAGAGAAAAUUGUUUCCACAGUGGAUUCUCUUGACUGAUGAUGUUCAGGACUUCUGAUAUGGAAUCCAUGUCCUAAUUUUGGGAUAUGAAGACAGCAACAACGAUGUAACAAACAUUUGAUCGGACACAUAAGAAAAACAACGGCAGUGCAUACCUCAAAAGAUGUGAAUUGGAAAACUUUAAAACAUUAACUUUCCAAGUGACAACAACUGGAAACUCCAUUUUUGAACUAGCAUUUGGCAACAAUUCCAUGAUGAUUUCCCGCGCUUUUUAUGUUUAGAUUCUCAUAGAAUAUACGUAUGGCAAGUUGCAAUUUUACAAUGUAGGAAAAUGUGAAUUUUUUGUUGCUCGAAAAACAUAGCCAAAUGCAUUGUAUCUUCUCAUAUGACCAUAAAAUCAAGAAAUGGUGCAUUCAAUGCUGUUAGGGAGGUGGGUGCAUGGAAAUUGAGCAUUCUUCAUGAAAUUAUGGAUGGUCAUUGCAGAGCACAGAGCACCCCAACCUGACAAAGAUUUUUAGUUUACAAAAUUGAUAAAGAAACUUGUUCAUGUUAAGUGGUAAUAUUAUUUGCAAACACUAUGACAUCAUGCAAUGACUUUUUACAAUUACAUUUCACUAUUUGAGAGUGUUUCA
Xenia sp. Carnegie-2017 is the source of this 669-nucleotide long non-coding RNA. RefSeq lists it as uncharacterized. The transcript has 2 exons. The record is from RefSeq and is a predicted model, not a curated record. NCBI's taxonomy places the organism in Eukaryota, Metazoa, Cnidaria, Anthozoa, Malacalcyonacea, Xeniidae.